This 1196-nucleotide long non-coding RNA is filed under the name Parus major (Great Tit). Its description in RNAcentral is "lncRNA (ENSPMJG00000004449.1)". Lineage: Eukaryota; Metazoa; Chordata; Aves; Passeriformes; Paridae. The record is from RNAcentral.
GGAUGCUGGGGGUCCCAUUUGGGUCUGGGGUCCCAGUUUGGGGUCUGGGGUCCCAGUUUGGGUCUGGGGUCCCAUUUGGGAUCUGGGGUCCCAGUUUGGGUCUGUGGUCCCAUUUGGGUCUGUGGUCCCAUUUGGGUCUGGGGUCCCAGUUUGGGUCUGGGGUCUCUCAGUGGGUCCCAUUUGGGUCUGGGGUCCCAGUUUGGGGUCUGGGUUCCCAGUUUGGGGUCCCAUUUGGGUCUGGGGUCUCACUGUACCCCGUUUCCCCCCCAGCUGGUUCGGGGUACCAACGUUUUUGGGGUCCCAGUUUGGGUCUGGGGUCCCAGUUUGGGUCUGGGGUCCCAGUUUGGGGUCUGGGGUCCCAUUUGGGUCUGGGGUCCCAGUUUGGGGUCCCAGUUUGGGGUCUGGGGUCCCAGUUUGGGGUCCCAGUUUGGGGUCUGGGGUCCCAGUUUGGGGUCUGGGGUCCCAUUUGGGUCUGGGGUCCCAGUUUGGGGUCUGGGGUCCCAUUUGGGUCUGGGGUCUCUCAGUGGGUCCCAUUUGGGUCUGGGGUCUCACUGUACCCCGUUCCCCCCAGCUGGUUAAGGGUACCAACGUUUUUGGGGUCCCAGUUUGGGGUCUGUGGUCCCAUUUGGGUCUGGGGUCUCUCAGUGGGUCCCAUUUGGGUCUGGGGUCUCUAUUUGGGUCUGGGGUCUCUCAGUGGGUCCCAUUUGGGUCUGGGGUCUCUAUUUGGGUCUGGGGUCUCACUGUACCCCGUUCCCCCCAGCUGGUUCGGGGUACCAAUGUUUUUGGGGUGCUCCGCGCCCCCCGCUCCCCCAGCACCGAGGCUCUGCUGCUGCUCGUGCCCUGCUCCGAGGGCAGCACCAACAACCAGGCCGUGGGGCUACUGCUGGCCCUGGCGGGCUACUGCAGGGGUCAGAUUUACUGGUCCGUACCGGUCCAUACCAGUCCAUACUGGUCCAUACUGGUGCAGGUCAGAUUUACUGGUCUGUACCAGUCAAUACCGAUCUGUACUGGUCCAUACUGGUUCAUACUGGUCCAUACUGGUCUAUACUGGUGCAGGUCAGAUUUACUGGUCCAUACCGGUCCAUACCGGUCCAUACUGGUCUGUACUGGUGCAGGUCAGAUUUACUGGUCCAUACUGGUCCAUACCGGUCCAUACUGGUCCAUACUGGUCCAUACUGGUCCAUACUGGUCCAUAC